This 484-nucleotide ribosomal RNA is filed under the name uncultured bacterium. RNAcentral's name for it is "partial 16S ribosomal RNA". It matches the Rfam family "Bacterial small subunit ribosomal RNA", at positions 30 to 507 of the family's 1533-position model. The record is from RNAcentral.
AUUGAACGCUGGCGGCAGGCCUAACACAUGCCAGUCGAGCGGAUGAAGGGAGCUUGCUCCUGGAUUCAGCGGCGGACGGGUGAGUAAUUCCUAGGAAUCUGCCUGGUAGUGGGGGAUAACGUCCGGAAACGGGCGCUAAUACCGCAUACGUCCUGAUGGAGCAAGUGGGGGAUCUUCGGACCUCACGCUAUCAGAUGAGCCUAGGUCGGAUUAGCUAGUUGGUGUGGUAAAGGCCUACCAAGGCGACGAUCCGUAACUGGUCUGAGAGGAUGAUCAGUCACACUGGAACUGAGACACGGUCCAGACUCCUACGGGAGGCAGCAGUGGGGAAUAUUGGACAAUGGGCGAAAGCCUGAUCCAGCAAUGCCGCGUGUGUGAAGAAGGUCUUCGGAUUGUAAAGCACUUUAAGUUGGGAGGAAGGGCAGUAAGUUAAUACCUUGCUGUUUUGACGUUACCAACAGAAUAAGCACCGGCUAACUUCGUG